RNAcentral lists this long non-coding RNA (1157 nucleotides) under Bemisia tabaci. RNAcentral's name for it is "lncRNA ENSSSA1UGG010795". The record is from RNAcentral. Lineage: Eukaryota; Metazoa; Arthropoda; Insecta; Hemiptera; Aleyrodidae.
GGCUGAAGGUUCACUAGCACUAAGAGUAAACUGUGACGGCAGAAUAGAUUUAUUUCAUUCACUUCGCUCUUUCAUUUCAUCGCAAAAUAAUGCGGGUCGUUGUUUUUCGGUGUAUCUCCGUCAUCAGUGUCGUUGUAUAUUUGGAGACAUCUAAACAUAAUGGGGGCGGCGGCAGUUUUGUCACGGCGGAAAAACCAGGUCAACAAGGUCAAGUGACGACCUACAAUAUUGCCGACAUUUAUGGGGAAGACCUGAUGAAGGAACUGGAGCCUGAAGGGUGGCAAGAAUACGGUGCUCGAAAGUUGGCCAAAGGGAGAGAAAAACUUGGCGGAUUCGCAAAUACAGGCCUCAAAUGGUUUAGGAAUAACGAUAAAGUUAAAAAAGUGUUGAAUUCUAACGUGGUGCAGACAGUCAAAGGGGUCGGGAACCAAGCGGUCGAAAAAACAAAAGAAGGUAUCAAUAGGAUUCUCCCCAGUUCAGACGACGAAUCCUCAGGUCAAGAGGAGGAACGUGGACGCAGACAUAAACGAGGACAUGACGACCGUGAUAGAAGUCGAGAUCAUGGCAAACAUCGAGAUCAUAGCAAACAUCGAGACAAUGGCAAACAUCGAGAUCAUGGCAACCAUCGCCACCAUCAUCACCAUCACCACCAUCGUAACACAGAGGGAAAAACGAAAGCAGAGGACUAUCAAGGAGCGUGCGUUAAGCACUGUGCGAACAUUUACGGCUUUUUGUUCGAAUCUCAUUCGGAGGACGGAGUUCCGAGAUUCUCUGCCGGAGCUGUUUAUCCCAUCACACGGGGCAAGGCCGAAUUGAAGGAGCAUAUCAAAUCAGAUACCCAAGAGCGGAGCUCCACUUAUGAGUGCGAUUGUAGGCCGACGAGCGAUUUCGAAUUGAUGGUCAAAACAGCGUUUCCGGAAGUCCCGGACUUGUUGGCUAACUUCAAAAAACAGCAAGUCUCCGAUCCCCUCGGAGCAACCGCUUCCGCGCGUCGAAUUUUCGAAAAAUUGAACUGGGAUUGGAAAGAGUUACAAAAAAAGCAGGGAGCUAAGCAGUUCAACAGAUACUUCUAUACUGAUCAUAAGCAUCUGCUUCAGUUGAUAUUUCAGGAAAUGAUACAAUAUUCGGAGAUUCCCGCGAAAGCGCAGGCAUCGUAA